Non-coding RNA from Mesocricetus auratus (golden hamster), 504 nucleotides. Lineage: Eukaryota; Metazoa; Chordata; Mammalia; Rodentia; Cricetidae. The record is from the annotation of a RefSeq genome assembly.
AGCCUUCUUCUGCUAGUCAAUGAAACCAUGAACACGAGGCUUCUCUGCUGUGUAGCCCUUUGUCUCCUGGGAGCAGGCUCUUCGGAUGGACAAGUUAUCCAGACUCCGCAACAUCUGUUCAAAGGGAAAGGACAGAAAGCAAAGAUGAACUGUACACCUGAAAAUGGACAUACUUUUGUCUACUGGUACCAACAGAAGCAGAGCAAAGAGUUACAGUUUUUGAUUUCUUUCCAACGCCAAGAAGUUCGUGAAAAUACAGACUUGGUCAAGGAGCGAUUCUUAGCUGAUUGUCCCUUAAACUCACCCUGCAGCCUAGAAAUCCAGUCCUCUGAAGCAGGAGACUCAGCUCUGUACCUCUGUGCCAGCAGUCUGACCACAGCCCUGAAUUGUGCAUUCUCCUCAUUGCACAAACCCUCCAUGGAGGCAACUCAGGAAGCAGGUGCUGGUCUGGGUUGGAAGGAAGUAACAAAGGAACUAGAGCCAGUGUCAACCACAGGAGGCUAG